UGCAUCUGACCUGGGACAGUUAAAUUGCAAGAGGGUUAGUUUGCAGAGCAGAUCGUCUAAGGAGGAAACACUACCACACUCCAGUUUGGAGUUGGAGGGAAGAAUGCAAACAAAUCCCCAGGUUUUAGAUUCUGGAUGGUGAUGCCCACCAGGUGCCGCGGGAACAACAGCUGUCUCCACCAACCCGGGAACUCGUUGUGCCUCAGAAGGGAGGAGUCAGGGCAGGCAGGAGGCCAAAGUGCUCGAGGAAAUCCAGAGACGUGGAGACAAAGCUUUCUACUCCUUAAAACCAUAAUACCAUAUCUGCAUGUGUGCCUACGUGACAACAUCCUGAGUGAGAGAUGGCUUGAACUCAAGAGGUGUGAAGAGGAGAGAAACAGUCUUCAAGAGCCACAUAAAGAUGGUGGAGUCAAUGUGACAAAAUCUGCCUGGUCACCCAAGAGAGAAGCAGGGAGUCAUUCCCAACAUCCUUCCUCUAUCUCUUCCCCUGGCCUCUGCAAAUCUGCCACUGGUAACUGAGACUGGUGUCCCUGGCUCUGGACUCACCUUUACCAUCUCCCUGAGAGCAGGAGCCAACAGUUUUCCUGUAAAGAAGCAGCUGGAGAAUGCCAGCAGCUUUGCAGAGACGAUCUCCAUCACCACUACCUAACUCUCCUGCAGCACAGACAGCACACAGGUUGCCAUGCCUCGACAGUUCCUGAGGAAAUUCUGAAGAGACCCUGGCUCAUAGCUGAAGCUUGGUUUUUGCAAGGUAGAUAUACAAUGGUGACAGAGAAGGACAAGGCAUCCCCACUCCUAGAGCUUCCAUUACAGUGUGACUAGUGAAUAAACAGUGUAGCAUGAGCUUUGACAAGGAAAGACAUUGUAAAAGGCAAUGUGACAUAGAGGGACAGAUAGGUUGGGAAGAUAGGGCCAGACUGUGGGCAUUUCCACUGGAGAUAGAGUGGCCACAGGGUUUUCCUGAGUCGUUCAAUCUGCGAUCUCACAACACUCAUUCAGCUUUCUAAUGAAGCCUGUCAAAUGCCAGUUGUUAUGCAUUUAUUUACUCAUCUGUCUCUUCUGGGCACUGUGAGCCCCUCAUCAGCAGAAACCCUAACUGAAUGCUCCGGGGACCUGAGCCUGGGGAAAAUAGCUUCUGCAUGGAAUCCAUUGAGAUACUCCCUCCAACUGCAGCUUGUGUCUCCACCACCAACCACAGUAGCAACUUGGGGAAACUGAGGCAGCGGCAGAGGGAACCUCAAAGUUCAGCACACUAGCAAACCCACUCCAAAGGCCGAUGGCUGAAGGAGUCAGUUGAUACAUGUGCAUUACAUUUACCUUAGAAAUUAAGGGCAUCCAUCUACCAGUCAAUCACCAGUGGGUUUCCCCAGUCAUCUAAACAUCUGAAAAACAGUCCGGGAGACAUUAAACAUGCACACGAUGUGGCUGAGUCUAGAUAUUUGUGGUGAUGCCACUGGAUAAAAAUAGCCCCUCAAUGGCCUUAAGGAGGACAAAGCCCCUUCAGUGCGGAUGGGGGAAGGGGGUAACCUUUUAAUCCUUCUUUUUAAAAAAAUUUAAGCCUAUUCUUUGUCUUCCAAGCAUGAAGGGGAUACUGGCUUGCUACAGAACAUUUGGAAAAGUACAGAAAAUUGCAAAGACCCUCCUAAAAAUGCUUUGGCGUACUUCCUUCCAGCCUCCCAAUGCUGCUCCUGCUGACAGCAGAGUGGGGAGUAAGCGCAGAGGGGAAACACAGUCUUUUUACUGAUUAUUUUAUAUACAAUGAGGUAUCAAAGUAGGGCCUGGCCUUUUUGCAUAUGCUUUUAAUUUUAUCUGAUUAUGAAAGAAAUAUGUUCUAAUUUUGGAACUGAUAAGAAAGAAGUGUCUGUCACCUAUAUCCUGUCCCUAAGAGAUAAAGACUGUUCAUGCUGUACAUGCAUUUCAAAAACCUAUUUUCUAGGCAAAUCAAUAUAGGUGAGAUCUUGCUGGGCAGUCAGGGUUGCAUCCUGAAAAAUUAUUUUCAUGUAAUUUCACAUCAGAAAUAUUCCACCCCCCCAACCUCAAAACCUUUUUUGUAAGUGGAUGAUAACAACAAUCCAAUCCAAUUCUCUGGAUGGAUAAUUUUAAAAAUGAUUUUUAAGUGGUUUGGCAUUUCUAAAUUUUUACGACUCUGCCUCUAAACAUGGUGGACAUUUUCAAUACAAGUUUUUGGUGUGAGUUUCAAACUGUCCCCAUAAGAAAAGGAGAAUCUAUUUCUAUAACAAUAUAUGUCUGUAUGUUCAGUAUAUGAUCUUCAAAAUAUAGGUCAUCGGGGAGUAUAAGUUGGUACAAUGGGUUUGGAAGGCUGCUGGCGUCUGCUCAAUUAGCACGAGCUUACCCUUCAACUAGCAAUCUCUCUCAUAGGUCUAUACUCAAGAAAUUAUUGUCCAUGUCCUCAGAAAGAGGGUAUGAGAAUGUACAUAGGGCUGGGGGUGCAGAUCAGUGUAGAGGGCUUGUCUAGCUUGCACCAGGCCCUGGGUUCAACUCCCUGUACAUACACGUGCACACAAAAUAAGGUCAAUCAUGUUUUUAAACUGGAACAACCUGAUUUGUCAAUAAUUUAUCAAUAGAAAAAUAAAUAAAUAAGUUGUGGCCUAUUCACAGAAUAACAUACCACAUUGAGUUCUGAGUGUUAGGGUUCCCUAACCAAAUUCAUGUAUUGAAACUUAAUCACUAAUGUGAUUGUGUUGGGAGGUAGGGCCUUUGGGAUUAGUGCCCUCGUAAAAGAGGUCCCAGAGUUCCCUGUCACCCCUUCCACCAUGUGUAAAGUGCCAUUUAUGAGUCUGGAGGCAGAACCUUUCCAAACUCCAUCUGCUGGCCCCUCAUCUUGAACUUCCAGCCUCCAACCUGGGGGCAAUGAACUUCUGUUGUUAGAAGUCACUUGGUUUAUGGUAUUUGGUUAUAGGAACCCAACAGAGAAGACGCUACAUAAUUAAGAACAAUGAAAUAUUGCUACAUGCAACAAAAUGCACAGAUAUCUCAGAAAUUGUUAUGCAAAAGGGCACAACACAAGAGGAUGAAGACUGUGUGAUUCCAUUUUUACAAAAUUUAUAAACAGGGAAAAUUGAUCAGGGUAGAAAUCAGAACACUGUUUCCUUUUGGAUGGGAGUAGGGCAGGAGGGGUUGCUAGAAGCAGUUCUAUAUUUUGAUCUGUGUAGUGAUUGUCUCUAUGUGUUCAAAUGUGCAAAUCUGUGACGCUAUAUGUUUAAAAUUAAUGUAGUUAACACACUUUACUAUAUACAGGUUUUGCAAAAAAAGAAAAAAAGUUCUACCAGUGCCAGUACAUUAUCUCACUAAAGGAGAACUUCAGUCACUUGUUCACGCGGUGGGCACCCUCUGGGGAGAUGUUUGUGGAAAGCAACGUGUUGUAAAGAUCAUCCUGUUUCCUGCCGCACCUUACCCUCAGAGAGUCUAUGGCUUGACAAAGAGAAUAAAGUGGGCACCGUUUUCCUCUGUGCCUCGCCCCCUUCUUUUGCUCUAUGCCUUAGAGACUAUGGCUGUUUGUGGUCAGGCAGAGUCAGCAGGGAUGGCCUGGGGGACUCCUUCACUGGAGGAGUAGGGAUGCCAAGAUCAGGGACCUGGUUGUCUUCUUCAUUCACUGGAGGAUACAUGCUGAGCCAGUAAACUGGUGCCAGGCCUGGGCCAUGUGCACGGAUGUACAAUACAGGAGCAGAGGGACCUCACACCGAUCAGGAUGGUUCUUAGCAGAAGACCAGGAAAGGACAAGUAUAGACAAGGAGCUUGGGAGAUUGGAACCUGGAUGCACUGCUGAUGGGAGUAAAAUGGUGCAGCGCGUUGAGCAAGACGUAGGAUAGCUCCUCAGCAAUUAGAAUCACUGUAGGAUCCACCAAUCCCACUUCACAGCACGUGUGCAUACACACACACACACACACACACACAUAAUAAAGCAGGGGCAUGAAGAGAUAUUUAUACACCCAUGUUCAUU
This is a long non-coding RNA of Marmota monax (woodchuck), 3961 nucleotides long. RefSeq lists it as uncharacterized. NCBI's taxonomy places the organism in Eukaryota, Metazoa, Chordata, Mammalia, Rodentia, Sciuridae. The transcript has 3 exons. The record is from RefSeq and is a predicted model, not a curated record.